GGUCCUACGGGAGGCAGCAGUGGGGGAUAUUGCACAAUGGGGGAAACCCUGAUGCAGCGACGCCGCGUGAGCGAUGAAGUAUUUCGGUAUGUAAAGCUCUAUCAGCAGGGAAGAAAAUGACGGUACCUGACUAAGAAGCCCCGGCUAACUACGUGCCAGCAGCCGCGGUAAUACGUAGGGGGCAAGCGUUAUCCGGAUUUACUGGGUGUAAAGGGAGCGUAGACGGCAGUGCAAGUCUGAAGUGAAAGGCAAGGGCUCAACCCCGGGACUGCUCUUGGAACUGC
Molecule: ribosomal RNA, 284 nt
Filed under: uncultured bacterium
Lineage: Bacteria
Description: partial 16S ribosomal RNA
Rfam family: Bacterial small subunit ribosomal RNA
Source: RNAcentral